This 514-nucleotide ribosomal RNA is filed under the name Dumbea gigas. Its description in RNAcentral is "partial 12S ribosomal RNA". Lineage: Eukaryota; Metazoa; Arthropoda; Insecta; Coleoptera; Chrysomelidae. The record is from RNAcentral.
ACACAUUUUAGAGCCUAAUUCACAUUAAUUAAAAAUUAAAAUUACAUUCAAAUCCAAAUUUAAAGUUUUAAUGCUAAAACUUAUCCUAAAAUAACUUUAAUGUAAUCCAUCUCUACUUUAAUAAGCUGCACCUUGAUCUGAUUUUCAAUAUAGUUUUAUAUUAAAAUUAUAUAUUUCAAAAAAUAAUUAACAACGACGAUAUACAAGCAAAAUUAAAGUUUUAUUAAUCGUGGAUUAUCGAUUACAGGACAGAUUCCCCUGAUUGGAAUAAAAAACCGCCAAAUUUUUUGAUUUUAAAGAACAUAACUUACAUUCAUCUGGUAUAAUUUUCCACACCUAGAAUAAUGGGGUAUCUAAUCCCAGUUUAUAGCCUAGGCUUCUUAACUUCAUAAUCAUAAAUAAAACUAAACAAAAAAUAAGAUUUCACCCAACAUUUUAUUGAUAUAGUAAAUUAACUCUAUUAACUAAAUAUAAUAACCGAAAAAAAAAUAAUAGCUUUUUUUGUAUAACCGCA